GUCGUAACAAGGUCCCGUUAAGUGAACCUGCGGAGGGAUCAUUA
RNAcentral lists this ribosomal RNA (44 nucleotides) under Beauveria bassiana. RNAcentral's name for it is "partial 18S ribosomal RNA". The record is from RNAcentral. Lineage: Eukaryota; Fungi; Ascomycota; Sordariomycetes; Hypocreales; Cordycipitaceae.